GACGAACGCUGGCGGCGUGCUUAACACAUGCAAGACGAACGGAAAGGCCCUGCUUUUGUGGGGUGCUCGAGUGGCGAACGGGUGAGUAACACGUGAGUAACCUGCCCUUGACUUUGGGAUAACUUCAGGAAACUGGGGCUAAUACCGGAUAGGAGCUCCUGCUGCAUGGUGGGGGUUGGAAAGUUUCGGCGGUUGGGGAUGGACUCGCGGCUUAUCAGCUUGUUGGUGGGGUAGUGGCUUACCAAGGCUUUGACGGGUAGCCGGCCUGAGAGGGUGACCGGCCACAUUGGGACUGAGAUACGGCCCAGACUCCUACGGGAGGCAGCAGUGGGGAAUAUUGCACAAUGGGCGGAAGCCUGAUGCAGCAACGCCGCGUGCGGGAUGACGGCCUUCGGGUUGUAAACCGCUUUCGCCUGUGACGAAGCGUGAGUGACAGUAAUGGGUAAAGAAGCACCGGCUAACUACGUG
This 468-nucleotide ribosomal RNA is filed under the name uncultured bacterium. Its description in RNAcentral is "partial 16S ribosomal RNA". It matches the Rfam family "Bacterial small subunit ribosomal RNA", at positions 28 to 507 of the family's 1533-position model. The record is from RNAcentral.